This 540-nucleotide non-coding RNA is filed under the name Trypanosoma cruzi. Its description in RNAcentral is "SSU rRNA". It matches the Rfam family "Eukaryotic small subunit ribosomal RNA", at positions 1 to 491 of the family's 1831-position model. Lineage: Eukaryota; Euglenozoa; Kinetoplastea; Trypanosomatida; Trypanosomatidae. RNAcentral also lists the same sequence under 1 other name. The record is from RNAcentral.
GAUCUGGUUGAUUCUGCCAGUAGUCAUAUGCUUGUUUCAAGGACUUAGCCAUGCAUGCCUCAGAAUCACUGCAUUGCAGGAAUCUGCGCAUGGCUCAUUACAUCAGACGUAAUCUGCCGCAAAAAUCUUGCGGUCUCCGCAACAUUGGAUAACUUGGCGAAACGCCAAGCUAAUACAUGAACCAACCGGAUGUUCUCUGUUCCGGCGGCAGGGCAACACCUGCUGCCAUGGGACGUCCAGCGAAUGAAUGAAAGUAAAACCAAUGCCUUCACCGGCAGUAACACUCAGAAGUGUUGAUUCAAUUCAUUCCGUGCGAAAGCCGGGUUUUUUACCCGGCGUCUUUUGACGAACAACUGCCCUAUCAGCCAGCGAUGGCCGUGUAGUGGACUGCCAUGGCGUUGACGGGAGCGGGGGAUUAGGGUUCGAUUCCGGAGAGGGAGCCUGAGAAAUAGCUACCACUUCUACGGAGGGCAGCAGGCGCGCAAAUUGCCCAAUGUCAAAAAAAAAGAUGAAGCAGCGAAAAGAAUAGAGCCGACAGUG